This 518-nucleotide ribosomal RNA is filed under the name Escherichia coli. RNAcentral describes it as "partial 23S ribosomal RNA". It matches the Rfam family "Bacterial large subunit ribosomal RNA", at positions 696 to 1212 of the family's 2925-position model. Lineage: Bacteria; Pseudomonadati; Pseudomonadota; Gammaproteobacteria; Enterobacterales; Enterobacteriaceae. The record is from RNAcentral.
UAAGUUGCAGGGUAUAGACCCGAAACCCGGUGAUCUAGCCAUGGGCAGGUUGAAGGUUGGGUAACACUAACUGGAGGACCGAACCGACUAAUGUUGAAAAAUUAGCGGAUGACUUGUGGCUGGGGGUGAAAGGCCAAUCAAACCGGGAGAUAGCUGGUUCUCCCCGAAAGCUAUUUAGGUAGCGCCUCGUGAAUUCAUCUCCGGGGGUAGAGCACUGUUUCGGCAAGGGGGUCAUCCCGACUUACCAACCCGAUGCAAACUGCGAAUACCGGAGAAUGUUAUCACGGGAGACACACGGCGGGUGCUAACGUCCGUCGUGAAGAGGGAAACAACCCAGACCGCCAGCUAAGGUCCCAAAGUCAUGGUUAAGUGGGAAACGAUGUGGGAAGGCCCAGACAGCCAGGAUGUUGGCUUAGAAGCAGCCAUCAUUUAAAGAAAGCGUAAUAGCUCACUGGUCGAGUCGGCCUGCGCGGAAGAUGUAACGGGGCUAAACCAUGCACCGAAGCUGCGGCAGCGAC